Molecule: long non-coding RNA, 2099 nt
Organism: Trifolium pratense (red clover)
Lineage: Eukaryota; Viridiplantae; Streptophyta; Magnoliopsida; Fabales; Fabaceae
Exons: 7
Source: RefSeq, a predicted model, not a curated record
UACAAUACACUCUCACAAACAAACGAAUUUAACGUUCUUCAAUCCACUCUUUAGAUUCUUCUUCUUCCUCCCUUCCCCUCUUGCUCUCAAAUUUUCAAAUUUUCAAUCAUGUCUAUCGCUCUCUAUAUGAUAUCAUCAAGAAUAACAAAAAAUCUGGAUCCAGAAACCUUUUAUUUCCUCUCCCACAGAGUACGCGAGUUCUGAAAACCCUAACUACUCUUUCAGAAUAUUCUUCAAUCUUGAUUCAAUUUUCAGUUUUCGAUUUUAGUUCUUUUCUCAUUUCCCGUUUCAAUUUGGUUUUGCGUUUUUCGUGAUUCCAAUUCAUGUUCUUGAUCUGACUUCUUGAUUUCUCUUUUAUUUGAUUCUUGUUCCGUGUUUGAUUGCGAUUUUGUUUUAUUAGCAAUUUUAAUUCAUUAUUUUCCCCAAAUUCUAGGGUUUGAGACUUCAUUUUGAUUGAAUUUCAGUUGAUUUCCAUUUCCGCUUCCGAUCGCAUAUCAUCUGCACUCUGUUUCUGGUGCUGUGUUAUUUUCGAUAAUGAUUUAAGGAGACGAAGAUGAGAAUCUCAAUUUCGAUGAUUCUUUGUAUAUUUCUUCGUUAAAAACUUGCGGCAGUUCUUUAUUUCAUUAUGUUACUUUGAUUCUUUGAGUUCACCGGCAUUGGCGGCAGUUAUUGGUGAGAUUGCGGUUCUUUCCGAUCUUGUGGUGGAUAUGAUUUGACGAUUCUUGAGUUUCGGUUCAUUGUGAGUGGUGUUAUUGUCACCAUUGAAGAUACUGAUUGCAGAAUUGAAUUUUGCUCUCUUCAAUCCUUGAGAUAUAUCUAUAAAUGCUGAAAAUCUUUGCAUGAUAAGUUUUGAGAUGGUCAGGAUAAACCAGAGGUUCAACGAGAACAUAAAUAUGAGGUGUUGAUAUUAUUGGGUGAUGCAAGCAGUGCACUUGGACAUAUGAGCAAAGGUGUAGCUGCAUUGUCUAUGGAUAAGUUCAUUCAAAGUCGACAGAGACAGGAAAACAAAGGUGUGGAGGAUUUUGGUGACGUUGUUAGAGAGUGAGGUGGAGCAUUAAUUAUGUUAGGCACCUUUCUUAAUCCCAGAUCAAAGAAAAUGUUAUCUGGCAUAAGUCAGCGUCAUGAUGUUCCAGGGACUUCAUUCUUCUCGAAGAACCAUUCGGCCGCAGCGAUCCAGCCAACAGGGUCGGUUCCCAUGAAAUCUGGUAAUUGCUUCUUCAUAGUCCAAACGUCCUCUAUCACUGGCUCCUCGCGUGUUCGAAUCCGGUAGGUCGGACCAAUUAAUAUGUAUGUGAAUAUAUUUUGUGAUUUAAUAUAUGAACAAAUGCAAAGAUGAUGAUAAUAAGAUGAUAAAUGGAGGAAUUAUAUUUAAUGGAAUAUGCGAUUACAAUGGAAAACUGAAUAGAAAGAUAGAACGAACUAAUAGCAAUGCAGCUACUAGCCCACAACGUGGAACGUUUUACCCAAAUCACAUAAAGUGACCCUACCAAGAAAUAUCUCAAUUCUUAGCUACUUAUUCCUUCUGCAUAACACUCCUUAUAUAGUGGAAUAAGUCCUCAUGCUUUUCAUGCACUCAUGCCACCUCAUCAUUAUUUCAUUCCUUUCCACACCUUAGUCUUGGGCCAAAGUCAAGGCCCACUUUCACAUUCCUCCCCUUAGCUUCUUCCCUCACGAGCAAGCCAUGUGAAAUUCUCAUAUGCUGACAAUUUCAUCACCACCGCCGCGACCCUCUUGCUGUAUUUGAUAGUUGAAUCAUGCAUUUGACUCUGUCACCCACGUCAAUGAUAACAUUUUAAACCAGCAAAUUGAGCCUCAUAUAAUGUUUACUCCAUUCUGAUGUUAGACCCUUUUCAUAUUACCCAGCUAGCUAAACACCAACUCUCAUCUUCAAGAAAACACCAUACCCCAUAUUGUUCAGAUUCCUAUAUAGGCAUAACUCUAAGUAACCGUCAUCAACGUAGACCUAAGUGGUCAUAUAUUGGUCAUUAUAAAUCAUUUUGAUGAUAUUACAGAAGUUUUUUUUUUUUUUUUACUAAGAUGAUAUUACACACAAGUUAAAACAUGUAAUUAUGUAAUUUAUGUCGCUUGGAAAAGAGAAA